CCUACGGUGGGCAGCAGUGGGGAAUAUUGGACAAUGGGCGAAAGCCUGAUCCAGCCAUGCCGCGUGUGUGAAGAAGGCCUUCGGGUUGUAAAGCACUUUCAGUGGGGAAGAAAGCCUUGGGGCUAAUACCCUCGAGGAAGGACAUCACCCACAGAAGAAGCACCGGCUAACUCCGUGCCAGCAGCCGCGGUAAUACGGAGGGUGCGAGCGUUAAUCGGAAUUACUGGGCGUAAAGCGCGCGUAGGCGGUCUGAUAAGCCGGUUGUGAAAGCCCCGGGCUCAACCUGGGAACGGCAUCCGGAACUGUCAGGCUAGAGUGCAGGAGAGGAAGGUAGAACUCCCGGUGUAGCGGUGAAAUGCGUAGAGAUCGGGAGGAAUACCAGUGGCGAAGGCGGCCUUCUGGACUGACACUGACGCUGAGGUGCGAAAGCGUGGGUAGCAAACAGGAUUAGAUACCCUAGUAGUC
RNAcentral lists this ribosomal RNA (465 nucleotides) under Vreelandella stevensii. RNAcentral's name for it is "partial 16S ribosomal RNA". It matches the Rfam family "Bacterial small subunit ribosomal RNA", at positions 338 to 795 of the family's 1533-position model. Lineage: Bacteria; Pseudomonadati; Pseudomonadota; Gammaproteobacteria; Oceanospirillales; Halomonadaceae. The record is from RNAcentral.